AGUGAACGCUGGCGGUAGGCCUAACACAUGCAAGUCGAACGGCAGCACAGUAAGAGCUUGCUCUUACGGGUGGCGAGUGGCGGACGGGUGAGGAAUACAUCGGAAUCUACUUUUUCGUGGGGGAUAACGUAGGGAAACUUACGCUAAUACCGCAUACGACCUACGGGUGAAAGCAGGGGAUCUUCGGACCUUGCGCGAUUGAAUGAGCCGAUGUCGGAUUAGCUAGUUGGCGGGGUAAAGGCCCACCAAGGCGACGAUCCGUAGCUGGUCUGAGAGGAUGACCGGCGCCGGGGAGAGGGGAAGGUCAGCCACACUAGGACGGGGACAGGGGGGGGGAAACGGUGGAAGGGGGGCGGGAGCCUGUUCCCGCAAUCCGGGGGGGGCGAAGGGGGCGUGGGGGUGGGAAAGUCUUUUGGGGGGGAAAAAAGAGCUGAAGUUCAAGACCCCGGUUUCAUGACGGUACCAAAGGAAUAAGCCCCGGCUAACUCGGUG
Molecule: ribosomal RNA, 492 nt
Filed under: uncultured bacterium
Lineage: Bacteria
Description: partial 16S ribosomal RNA
Rfam family: Bacterial small subunit ribosomal RNA
Source: RNAcentral